RNA transcript from Eubalaena glacialis (North Atlantic right whale), 1761 nucleotides. It is a transcript of the gene named translocase of inner mitochondrial membrane 29, with no coding region annotated. The record is from RefSeq and is a predicted model, not a curated record. Lineage: Eukaryota; Metazoa; Chordata; Mammalia; Artiodactyla; Balaenidae. The transcript has 3 exons.
UCUUCGGAGUACGGACGCAAAGCCGGAAGACAAUGGCGGCGGCCGUUCUGAAGAGAUUUUGGCCCCGAAGCCGCGGAGAGACUGGUGACGCUGCGGCCGCAAAGCCCGGCGUGUGGGCACGGUUGGGCGCCUGGGCCCGCGCGCUGCUCCGGGACUACGCUGAGGCCUGCGGGGACGCGGCGGCGGCGGCGAGGGCCCGACCCGUGCGGGCGGCCGUGUACGUGGGGCUGCUGGGUGGCGCGGCGGCCUGCUGCGCCCUCGCGCCGAGCGAGGCGGCCUUUGAGGAGGCGCUGCUCGACGCGUCGGGGACCCUCCUGCUGCUGGCGCCCGCCACGCGCAACCGCGACUCGGAGGCGUUCGUGCAACGGCUGCUCUGGCUGCGGGGUCGCGGCUGCCUGCGUCACGUGAGCCUGGGCCUCUGCUCGCUGGUGUACGAGGCGCCCUUCGACGCCCAGGCCAGCCUCUACCAGGCCCGCUGCCGCUACCUGCAGCCCCGCUGGGUCGACUUCCCGGACCGGAUCUUGGAUGUGGGCUUCGUGGGCCGCUGGUGGGUGCUGGGGGCCCGGAUGCGCGACUGCGACGUCAACGACGACGAGUUUCUGCACCUGCCGGCACGUCUGCGCGUCGUCGGGCCCCACCAGCUGCACUCGGAGGCCAACGAGCGGCUCUUCGACGAGAAGUUCAAGCCCGUGGUGCUCACCGACGAUCAGGUGGACCAGGCGCUGUGGGAGGAGCAGGUCUUGCAGAAGGAGAAGAAGGACCAGCUCGCCCUGAGCCAGGCCGACCCGCUGGUGCCGUCGGAAGUCGCGAGAUGAAACCCAGACCAGCCUGGGUCCCGAUCGGGCUCUGAGCCCGGGCAGACUGUUGGCCCAGGAUUGUGCAGUUGACCAGUCCAGGAGUUGGCCUCUAGAUGUCCUCAGGGGCUGCAGGAGCCGGGCCGGGCGAGGUGCCUACUGUCCUCAGUAGGUGAGGGGCGCAGGUGAGACACGGGCAGAGGUGCUCCGCUCUGCCUCACCCAGGCCAGCCCCUCUGGCUGUGUGUCCCUGGCCCUGUCUUCUGGGACCCCACAAGUGUGCUGGGUGCCCCCGAGAGGAGGCCCGCCCAUGACCAUGGGGCAAGGCAGGUCUCCCACCCGCCAGAGCCCCAUGGACCCCUGCGAAGAGCUCGGGCACCACGUGGCCACCACACACACCAGGCGAGCCUGGAGUUUAGAAAAUCACUGCCUACUGACCCUGCAAGGGACCCCCUUCUUUAAGCAUCACAAAAUGGGGACACCCCAGCUAGGAGCGUUGGCCCCAGGCCGUUUUCCUUUCUUACCUGUUCCCUUGUUUCCAUACCUCUUUUGAGUCUUUUCCUGUGAUCAGCUUCUGCUUCCUGGAGCUCUGGCCCCCGCCUGCCCACCUCCUCACCUGCCUUAUGUUUUCCAAACUUCUGGCAUUGGGGCCUCGUGGGUUUCCCUUUAUUUCCCCUUUAUGUAGAUCUUUUCCUUGGAGCAGAGCCCCAUCCUGCCAGGGCAGGGGUUCUUUCUGUCUGCCUGUCACCCUGUGCCUGGAGCAGCACCUGGCAUGCAGUAGGCGCUCAGUGAAUACUUGUCAAAUGCACCAGCAUGCCAGGUGGGGGGUGGCUGGAGCUGCUUGUCGACUGCCACUUGGCAGUCCCGGCACACUGCUGUGCCCUCCACUGUGGCAAGGCCUGUUCUCGUUGGGGCACUGGUACCCUCAGCCCACGGCACUUCCAGUUCUCGCCUUAUCCCUACCCAGC